RNAcentral lists this ribosomal RNA (253 nucleotides) under uncultured prokaryote. RNAcentral's name for it is "partial 16S ribosomal RNA". It matches the Rfam family "Bacterial small subunit ribosomal RNA", at positions 525 to 777 of the family's 1533-position model. The record is from RNAcentral.
ACGAAGGGGGCUAGCGUUGCUCGGAAUUACUGGGCGUGAAGGGCGCGUAGGCGGCCUUUCAAGUCGGGUGUGAAAGCCCGGGGCUCAACCCCGGAACGGCACCCGAGACUGGGAGGCUCGAGACCGGAAGAGGUGGGUGGAAUACCCAGUGUAGAGGUGAAAUUCGUAGAUAUUGGGUGGAACACCGGUGGCGAAAGCGGCUCACUGGUCCGGUUCUGACGCUGAGGCGCGAAAGCCAGGGGAGCAAACGGGA